CUCCACUAUAGUCAAGACCAAAGAGCCUUCAUAGGACACCAGAGACAAAAUUGUAGACCUGCACCAGGCUGGGAAGACUGAAACUGCAAUAGGUCUAAAAGUAGUAAAACCUACAGUAUGAAAUGGAGUGGACCAGUGGAGGCGAGCAUUGAGGACAGGACAUGACCAAGGGUUAAUAGAGAAAAGAAGAGAUUAAAAAAAACAAACUAAGGCUCCGUGAAAAGAGGGUCUUUGGAUUCUUGGAGUGAGGCGUACUGAAACCAAUGGAAGAAGAUGGAUGGAAAGGGAAGAAGACGGAAAGAGGUGAUGGGAAGCGAUGCAGUCCCUGACUUCUAUUGAAGACUAAGACCGGCCCUGGCAAGGAGGGAUAAGAGGGAAAUAAUUAUCCGGCCUACUGAAGCAUGACAGGCUCUUCUCGGGUCUGGAGAGACAGACUGAGCAUUAUGUCAAAGAUUGGCCAUGUCACAAGCAGAGAUACCUCUUGACAGACAGCGGCAGCUCAAGUUUUACUUGAUAGUAGGGAAGCUAAUGCAACUGGUGACUGCUACUUGUCUUGAGCAAGGCCAGUCAGAGAAUGGUUUCAAUA
This is a long non-coding RNA of Corythoichthys intestinalis (scribbled pipefish), 586 nucleotides long. RefSeq lists it as uncharacterized. The transcript is spliced from 3 exons. Lineage: Eukaryota; Metazoa; Chordata; Actinopteri; Syngnathiformes; Syngnathidae. The record is from RefSeq and is a predicted model, not a curated record.